UAACACGUGAGGAACCUGCCUAUCAGAGAGGGAUACCGUUUGGAAACGACCGGUUAAUACCUCAUAACGUAUUGAACCGCAUGAUUUUGAUAUCAAAGCUUAAUGUGCUGAGAGAUGGUCUCGCGUCUGAUUAGCUAGAUGGCGGGUAACGGCCCACCAUGGCGACGAUCAGUAGCCGGUCUGAGAGGAUGAACGGCCACAUUGGGACUGAGAUACGGCCCAGACUCCUACGGGAGGCAGCAGUGGGGAAUAUUGGGCAAUGGGGGAAACCCUGACCCAGCAACGCCGCGUGAAGGAAGAAGGCCUUCGGGUUGUAAACUUCUUUUAGCAGGGACGAAGGACGUGACGGUACCUGCAGAAAAGCAACGGCUAACUACGUG
RNAcentral lists this ribosomal RNA (380 nucleotides) under uncultured bacterium. Its description in RNAcentral is "bacterial SSU rRNA". It matches the Rfam family "Bacterial small subunit ribosomal RNA", at positions 111 to 507 of the family's 1533-position model. The record is from RNAcentral.